GGGUAUUAUAAUAUUAACGCUUAGAUUUCAAUUUAUAACAUAAAACAAUUAAAACAAUAGACGUCUUAAAAUUUCUCGCUCCUCUCUUUUGCCUCUUACAUCCUCUUUCUCUUUUUGAUCUUCUGUGGCAAAAAGUUUACAAUUUCACAUAAACAGGAACUAUUUAUGCAAGAGGAACAUAUUAACAGUGAUCCAGAGUUUACAAUUUCACAUAAUCCAGUUCUAGUGUGUACUGUUUAUGAGCAUAAUACCUUACCAGUACGUUUUCAUACUGUUGUGAUUCAAAACCCAUAAAAUCAUGCUCAAUACUACUAAAGACAUCAACAGCAACCUUCUUUCAAUGGUAUGGACUUGUGUAUCCAUUUUUCCAAAUCUUCGUAGCAUAUCAACAAACACAUAUCUUGCACGUUCUUGAAGAGGACGAUCAUACCCCAUUAAGUCCCCCAGUAAUCUAGGUGUCCCAUAAUCCUUGAGCCUGAUAAAUAAUCUUCUCCCUGGAUUUGCAUUAGUCCAAGACGUCCUUGAUGAGGUCAUCUCACCAUAAUUACGAAUAGGAAUAGUGACAUGAUUAGAUGCUGUUGCCAUUGCAAUGGCGUUAAGUUAAUGGUGUUAGCAAACUAAGUAUCCUAUCUCAAGAAGACCUUGGGAGGGUUUCGUCCCCCAGGUCUCUUAUUCAUCAAGAAGCAAGAAUGCAUUACGAGGAAAAACUAAGUUAUUUACCUUCAACAUCCAAUUGAUAGUAGGGAGAAUCAUCCAGUUUCUGGCUAGCACCAUCUACUCCACACACUUGAAUA
Molecule: unclassified non-coding RNA, 794 nt
Filed under: Hevea brasiliensis (rubber tree)
Lineage: Eukaryota; Viridiplantae; Streptophyta; Magnoliopsida; Malpighiales; Euphorbiaceae
Source: RNAcentral